UGAACGCUGGCGGCGUGCCUAAUACAUGCAAGUCGAGCGAACAGAUAAGGAGCUUGCUCCUUUGACGUUAGCGGCGGACGGGUGAGUAACACGUGGGUAACCUACCUAUAAGACUGGGAUAACUUCGGGAAACCGGAGCUAAUACCGGAUAACAUUUGGAACCGCAUGGUUCUAAAGUGAAAGAUGGUUUUGCUAUCACUUAUAGAUGGACCCGCGCCGUAUUAGCUAGUUGGUAAGGUAACGGCUUACCAAGGCGACGAUACGUAGCCGACCUGAGAGGGUGAUCGGCCACACUGGAACUGAGACACGGUCCAGACUCCUACGGGAGGCAGCAGUAGGGAAUCUUCCGCAAUAGGCGAAAGCCUGACGGAGCAACGCCGCGUGAGUGAUGAAGGGUUUCGGCUCGUAAAACUCUGUUAUUAGGGAAGAACAAAUGUGUAAGUAACUGUGCACGUCUUGACGGUACCUAAUCAGAAAGCCACGGCUAACUACGUG
RNAcentral lists this ribosomal RNA (495 nucleotides) under uncultured bacterium. RNAcentral's name for it is "partial 16S ribosomal RNA". It matches the Rfam family "Bacterial small subunit ribosomal RNA", at positions 30 to 507 of the family's 1533-position model. The record is from RNAcentral.